This 441-nucleotide ribosomal RNA is filed under the name uncultured bacterium. RNAcentral's name for it is "partial 16S ribosomal RNA". It matches the Rfam family "Bacterial small subunit ribosomal RNA", at positions 338 to 795 of the family's 1533-position model. The record is from RNAcentral.
CCUACGGGUGGCAGCAGUGGGGGAUAUUGCACAAUGGGGGGAACCCUGAUGCAGCGACGCCGCGUGGGUGAAGGAGUAUUUCGGUAUGUAAAGCCCUAUCGGCAGGGAAGAAAUUGGACGGUACCUGACUAAGAAGCCCCGGCUAACUACGUGCCAGCAGCCGCGGUAAUACGUAGGGGGCAAGCGUUAUCCGGAUUCACUGGGUGUAAAGGGAGCGUAGACGGCCAUGCAAGCCAGGGGUGAAAGCCCGGGGCCCAACCCCGGGACUGCCCGUGGAACUGCAUGGCUGGAGUGCGGGAGGGGCAGGCGGAAUUCCUGGUGUAGCGGUGAAAUGCGUAGAUAUCAGGAGGAACACCGGCGGCGAAGGCGGCCUGCUGGACCGCGACUGACGUUGAGGCUCGAAAGCGUGGGGAGCGAACAGGAUUAGAUACCCUAGUAGUC